This 801-nucleotide long non-coding RNA is filed under the name Homo sapiens (human). RNAcentral describes it as "non-protein coding lnc-AJAP1-9:2". The record is from RNAcentral. Lineage: Eukaryota; Metazoa; Chordata; Mammalia; Primates; Hominidae.
UGUGGAAAGUCACUAUCAUGAGGACAGCAAGGGGGGUGGGCCUGGAUGAGACCACCAAGGCAGAGUGUGCAUAGAGAGAAGACAGCUGGAUUCAGAGCCCUGUCAUGAGGGCUAGAUGAAGAAGGUCUAGAAGAGCAAGCAGGUGAGUGAUGGGAAAAAUAGGUAUGUGAAUCUUUGCAGUCUCGAAGAAAUUAUUUCAUAAAAGAAAAGGUGAUCAACUGCAUGAAAAUUAAAGAAGCCCACCCCAUGAGAACAAGCAGAGGCUUUCCAUUCACUGAACAUCAACAGUGUCACUGGCACUGCUCCGAAAGCAGGGGAUAAACUGAUGAGCAAAACAGACCAAACUGCACCUCCAAGGACCUUUUAGCCAGGGGAGGAGAGUCUGGCAGUUGGAAAGCGUGUCCACAGUCCCCAGGGAACCAGGAACCACGUCCUGGGGAGCAGGGAGCUUGUGGAAGAACUGAAGCUCAGUAAACAGGUGACUGAGGUGGGGGCACCACGGGGUCAGAGUCUGCAGGGCAGUCACCGCUGGACAUGGUUGAGGAAUAACGGAGGAGACUCCAGGCAUGAGCGAGUAGGGGUACUUGUGACACAGGUGGUUCAAAAUCAGCAUGGAGCGGGGACUCAGAGCAAGGGUGUGAGCCGUCAGACUGGGCCCUCCAGGGGUGACUUCGUUCCCUAUCUCCUUUCGCGUCUGAGCUCUUCCUUUUCCUUGCAUCCAGCCCUUCUUGCUACUGUCUGGGCACACCCCAGGCAUCUUGGUGCAGCCCACAGGGCCCUCUGGAGCCUGGUCCCUGGAGA